AUUGAACGCUGGCGGCAUGCUUUACACAUGCAAGUCGAACGGUAACAGGCCUUCGGGUGCUGACGAGUGGCGAACGGGUGAGUAAUGCAUCGGAACGUACCCAGAGGUGGGGGAUAACGCAGCGCAAGCUGUGCUAAUACCGCAUGUGAUCUGAGGAUGACAGCGGGGGACCGAGCAGCAAUGUUUGGCCUCGCGCCUUUGGAGCGGCCGAUGUCGGAUUAGCUAGUUGGGGGGGUAAAGGCCUACCAAGGCGACGAUCCGUAGCUGGUCUGAGAGGACGACCAGCCACACUGGGACUGAGACACGGCCCAGACUCCUACGGGAGGCAGCAGUGGGGAAUUUUGGACAAUGGGCGCAAGCCUGAUCCAGCAAUGCCGCGUGAGGGAAGAAGGCCUUCGGGUUGUAAACCGCUUUUGGCAGGAACGAAACGGUGUCCGCUAAUACCGGGCGCUAAUGACGGUACCUGCAGAAUAAGCACCGGCUAACUACGUG
RNAcentral lists this ribosomal RNA (492 nucleotides) under uncultured bacterium. RNAcentral describes it as "partial 16S ribosomal RNA". It matches the Rfam family "Bacterial small subunit ribosomal RNA", at positions 29 to 507 of the family's 1533-position model. The record is from RNAcentral.